CCUACGGGAGGCAGCAGUGGGGGAUAUUGGACAAUGGGGGGAACCCUGAUCCAGCGACGCCGCGUGAGUGAAGAAGUAUUUCGGUAUGUAAAGCUCUGUCAGCAGGGAAGAAAGAAAUGACGGUACCUGACCAAGAAGCCCCGGCUAACUACGUGCCAGCAGCCGCGGUAAUACGUAGGGGGCAAGCGUUAUCCGGAAUUACUGGGUGUAAAGGGAGCGUAGACGGUUAAGUAAGUCUGGAGUGAAAGGCCGGGGCGCAACCCCGGGACUGCUCUGGAAACUAUUGAACUUGAGUGCAGGAGAGGUAAGCGGAAUUCCUAGUGUAGCGGUGAAAUGCGUAGAUAUUAGGAGGAACACCAGUGGCGAAGGCGGCUUACUGGACUGUAACUGACGUUGAGGCUCGAAAGCGUGGGGAGCAAACAGGAUUAGAUACCCUAGUAGUC
Molecule: ribosomal RNA, 443 nt
Filed under: uncultured bacterium
Lineage: Bacteria
Description: partial 16S ribosomal RNA
Rfam family: Bacterial small subunit ribosomal RNA
Source: RNAcentral